CAGAGGGACAAGCCAGGUGCAGCAGCAGACUUUGAUUAAAAAAACAAAACUAACGUCCAGCUAAAGAUUAGCUUGUAGAAUAUAAUGGUGACGACACGGCCAGUCCGUCUGAAAAGAAGUGAGCGGUGAAGUAAGCUUUAUUUUAGCCUCACAACAAAUAUUAUUAAGUUAAAAUUUGGAUAAAACAACCAAGCGUUAGCUUGUUUUCGGGAGUUUUAUUCGCGUUAUUAGCUGUGGCGUUUUUGUAAAACUAGCUAGUUAGCCAGCAGCAACUGAGGGACGAGAUGAUCAACAACAGGUGCAGAGAGACAUCAAAUAUGGACCACUUCAUCCCCGUGAGAGAAAGAAGAGCGCUGCCUGUACCUGUCAGUCAUGCACCACAUCCAUCAUUGAGAUCUGGGCUCUGUCCCCUAUGCCUUGUUUCUUCGUCUCAUCGGCCGGUUUUCACAAGUCAUGUGGCUCCAAAGGGCGACUCAUGGGAAACAGCUGGGGGCCGCUCAGCUUUAGAGAUGGUUGAGGCGCCCUCGGGUCCACCCACACCUUCGGGCUCACCCUGUGGUUCACCUUCAGCUUCAACUUGAGCUUCACCCUCUGUGUCCUCCUCAGCUUCAGGAGUCAAAGAUGAAGCUGAUGUUGUAGCUAUUCAGCAACACAGAGUAUGUGUGGAUGUCAAGCGAGUACAGAUUUUCUCGUUAACCACUUGUAGAUGGGGUCGUUCUCUCGGAUGGCUAAAGAAAUUAAGAUGAUGUCACGUCUUCAAGGUAACAUCGUCUGUUCUCCAGCAGCCACGUUACUGACAUUGCUUAAAGUUGUUUUUUUCACUUUCCGCAGUUGUUAGACACAUUAAAAUCACACUGAAGCUCAUUUAAAUUAACAGAUGCUUUCAGUGUGACAACCUUCCGUUGCUUUGUCACCACUUUGAGUGUUAUAAAAGUACCUAAAAGUCAUACUUGAGUAGAAGUCACCCAUAGGAGUAGUUCUCGAGUAAAAGUAUCUAAAAAUAAAUGUACUAAAUGAAAGUAAAAUUCAACAUAUUUACCUGUAUACUAUACACCUGGCUGAUUAUCACAUCCAAUAUUCACCAUUGAAAUAAGUUAAUUUAUAAAUAAUACUACUUUGGUUCUGAUGGAGCCUCCAAUGUGCAAAGUGACUAAUAACUACAGUUAUUGAGAGCAAGUGCAGUACAACACUUGCCUCCAAAAUGUACUGGAGUGGAACUAUGAUGUAGCUUGUGUGAUCCAACAAAGAGUGAUUACAACUCUUUAGUUUUUUUUUCUGAACAGAUGUUAAAGACGACCCCAAAUCACUGAGAUGCCAGUUCACAUGAAACUAAUAAUAUCACAUGAGCGUGUUAUGUUAUUUCUAGUGGAAUCUUUACUUCACGCGGUACAAACAUGGCAGAUUUGCAUGAGAUUAACACCACAGACAAUUACUGGAAUCGUUACGAGUUAUUAGUGUCUGUAGGUAAUACAAGUCCUGUGCGACGAGGGCUUUGGUAUUCGUUCCAUUGUUUUCCUCUUCCUUCCCUCACCUUUCCUUCUCCCUCCUCUCUCCACCUGCACCUGAUCCCCUCCUCUGUGCGUGUGAAUAUAGUCUUUGUUCUCCCUCAUGUGUUUGUCAGUUCGUUCCGUCUGCCCCCGUGAUGCCACUCCGCGUUCACCUGUGUUCACCUGCGUCGCUACCCCAUCUUUCCCAGCCGCGUCCUCUCCAGUGUCUCCGAGUGUCUCCCCAUGGUGUGUUUCUGUUUUUUGUUCCUCAUGUUUUUUUUUUUUAUUUGUUUUUUUUUUAUUUCUUUGCACUUUGUUGAAGC
Molecule: long non-coding RNA, 1810 nt
Organism: Acanthopagrus latus (yellowfin seabream)
Lineage: Eukaryota; Metazoa; Chordata; Actinopteri; Spariformes; Sparidae
Exons: 5
Source: RefSeq, a predicted model, not a curated record